AUGAGGAAGGCGGCCGCCAAGCCCAAGCCGAGGGCGAGGGGGAAGGCCAAGCCCAAGCCGAAGGCGAAGCCCAGCCCCGACUCUCUCUCCGCCGCCUCGUCCCCGUCCGACGCCAGCGACGGGUCCCCCUCCCCCUCUCCCGUCGCCCUCCCCUCCGCCUCCAAGCCCAAGCCCAGGGUCAGGGCGAGGCCGAGGGCCAAGCCCAAGCCGAAGCCCAGCCCCGACUCCCUCUCCGGCGCCUCCUCGCCGUCCGACGCCAGCGCCGGGUCCCCCUCCCCCUCCCCCGUCGUCGGAGUCCGCCGCGGCUUCCUCUCGCCCGCCUCGCUGGUGACGCCCAAGGCCAGAUCCCCCCUCUCCGCGCCGGCCUCCGUGUCCACCGUCGGCGACCUGAGGGGCCUCGCCGCCUCGGGCCUCGACUCGCUCAAGCGCCGCCUCGACGCGCUCCACGCCGACAACGCCCGUGACCUCGAGGCCUCCCACUCCCGGAUCUCCAAGCGCAUCAAGAUGCAGACGCAGAGCUGCGUGCAGAUGGCGGAGGAGGCGGAGAAGGAGCAUAAGAAGAUGAUCGACAACUACUCCCAGCAAGCCGACGAGAUCAAGGCAUCGUACAAGAAGUUGAUGACAGAGGUGCAGUCGUCUUCGUCUCGUGUGUGCAAGGUGACCCUCCCUGAGAUGGCAAAGUCUGUGGCCAGAGCUAUCGACGGCUUGCGCAGUCGCUACAACAUCCCAGCUACAACAGCUUAG
This 744-nucleotide ribosomal RNA is filed under the name Triticum aestivum (bread wheat). Its description in RNAcentral is "partial small subunit ribosomal RNA". Lineage: Eukaryota; Viridiplantae; Streptophyta; Magnoliopsida; Poales; Poaceae. The record is from RNAcentral.